RNAcentral lists this ribosomal RNA (430 nucleotides) under Bacillota bacterium. Its description in RNAcentral is "Firmicutes bacterium partial 16S ribosomal RNA". It matches the Rfam family "Bacterial small subunit ribosomal RNA", at positions 355 to 776 of the family's 1533-position model. Lineage: Bacteria; Bacillati; Bacillota. The record is from RNAcentral.
UGGGGAAUAUUGGACAAUGGGGGGAACCCUGAUCCAGCCAUGCCGCGUGUGUGAAGAAGGCCUUAUGGUUGUAAAGCACUUUAAGCGAGGAGGAGGCUCUCUUGGUUAAUACCCAAGAAGAGUGGACGUUACUCGCAGAAUAAGCACCGGCUAACUCUGUGCCAGCAGCCGCGGUAAUACAGAGGGUGCGAGCGUUAAUCGGAUUUACUGGGCGUAAAGCGUGCGUAGGCGGCUUUUUAAGUCGGAUGUGAAAUCCCCGAGCUUAACUUGGGAAUUGCAUUCGAUACUGGGAAGCUAGAGUAUGGGAGAGGAUGGUAGAAUUCCAGGUGUAGCGGUGAAAUGCGUAGAGAUCUGGAGGAAUACCGAUGGCGAAGGCAGCCAUCUGGCCUAAUACUGACGCUGAGGUACGAAAGCAUGGAGAGCAAACAGG